UUUUAUUUUUCUAUUUAAUUUCAAAAAUUUAUUUCCUAACAGAUUUUAUUUUUCUAUUUAAUUUCAAAAGUAAUUUUUGCAUUAGAGAUUAUUGUUAAUUAUUUAUCAUUUAAAGCAUAUCUUUCUUAAUAGCGUGAUUUAUUAUUUUAAAUUUUUUAGAUACAUAUUUGGCAAUCAUAUAAAAUAUGACCUAAAAUUAAAAAAUAAUUUAAAAAAAUUAUAAUUUUUUUUAAUAAUUAUUACGUGUAUUUGCACGUACAUUUUACUAAUAUAUAUAUAUAUAUAUAUACUGCCGCCCGCACCUCCGGCCCUCGCUGCCACCUAGAUCCCAACUGCUGAUUCAUAUAUUUAUAUAAAUAUAGAUUUUUUAUAUAUAUAUAUACACUGUAUUAAAGAAGAGUUGGGUGAAAUUGGGAGAAAUUGGAGGUGAUGUAUGUCCCUCAAUUACUCCCAACUCUCCUUUAAACCCUCCCCUUCAACAAUCUAUUUUUAAACCAAUUGUCCUUACAGUAAGUGGCAAAAGGCUUGAUGAUUGAUAUUGGAGAUCGCAAGUUCGAAUUUUAGUUGAUUCAUAAUUCCAACUAAGCAGAUUGCAUACCACCUUUCUCUCCAAAAAAAGAAAAAAAAAAUUAUUUUUACACUUCAAUAUUGCCUACAUCCGGUCCACUAAUAAAUUACAUAGGCUGAACCUAUUUUUUAAUAAU
Molecule: long non-coding RNA, 704 nt
Filed under: Ananas comosus (pineapple)
Lineage: Eukaryota; Viridiplantae; Streptophyta; Magnoliopsida; Poales; Bromeliaceae
Description: long non-coding RNA (ACOM_LNC034763)
Source: RNAcentral